UUCCGGUUGAUCCUGCCGGACCCGACUGCUAUUUGGGUGAGAAUAAGCCAUGCGAGUUGAAUGGGAUACCUAAAGUUCCCAUAGCAAACUGCUCAGUAACACAUGAUCAACUUACCCUAUAGAGAAAAAUAACCUCGGGAAACUGAGGAUAAUGUUUCACAAUUGAAUUGGCUUGGAAAAGUUUUUCAAUGAAAAGGAUAAAAAAAAUGGUUUCUAUCUGCUAUAGGAUAGGAUCGUGUUCGAUUAUGGUUGUUGGUGAGAUAAUGGCUCACCAAGCCGAUAAUCGAUAGGGGCCGUGAGAGCGGGAGCCCCGAGAUGGGUACUGAGACAACGACCCAGGCCUUACGAGGCGCAGCAGGCGCGGAACCUCCGCAAUACACGAAAGUGUGACGGGGUUACCCAAAGUGUUCAAUAGAACUGUGGUAGGUGAGUAAUGUCCCCUACUAGAAAGGAGAGGGCAAGGCUGGUGCCAGCCGCCGCGGUAAAACCAGCUCUUCAAGUGGUCGGGAUAAUUAUUGGGCUUAAAGUGUCCGUAGCCGGUUUAGUAAGUUCCUGGUAAAAUCGGGUAGCUUAACUAUCUGCAUGCUAGGAAUACUGCUAUACUAGAGGGCGGGAGAGGUCUGAGGUACUACAGGGGUAGGGGUGAAAUCUUAUAAUCCUUGUAGGACCACCAGUGGCGAAGGCGUCAGACUGGAACGCGCCUGACGGUGAGGGACGAAAGCCAGGGGAGCGAACCGGAUUAGAUACCCGGGUAGUCCUGGCCGUAAACGAUGCAUACUAGGUGAUGGUACGGCCAUGAGCCGUAUCAGUGCCGUAGGGAAACCGUUAAGUGUGCCGCCUGGGAAGUACGGUCGCAAGGCUAAAACUUAAAGGAAUUGGCGGGGGAGCACCACAAGGGGUGAAGCCUGCGGUUCAAUUGGAUUCAACGCCGGGAAAUCACUAGUGCGGGCCGCCUGCAGUCGACCAUAUGGGAGAGCUCCCAACGCGUUGGGAUGCAUAGCUUGAGUAUUCUAUAGUGUCACCUAAAUAGCUUGCGUAUCAUGUCAUAGCCUGUUUCCUGUGUGAAUGUAUCCGCCUCACAUUCCACAACAACAUACGAGCGAAGCAUAAGUGUAAGCUGGGGUGCUUAAUGAGUGGAGCUACUCAAUAAUGCAUGCCCUCACUGCCGGCAUUCAAGUUCGGAAUCUGUCCGGGUCCAG
RNAcentral lists this ribosomal RNA (1199 nucleotides) under uncultured archaeon. RNAcentral describes it as "bacterial SSU rRNA". It matches the Rfam family "Archaeal small subunit ribosomal RNA", at positions 1 to 1092 of the family's 1478-position model. The record is from RNAcentral.